UGAGGAAUAUUGGGUCAAUGGGCGAGAGCCUGAACCAGCCAAGUAGCGUGCAGGAUGACGGCCCUAUGGGUUGUAAACUGCUUUUAUAAGGGAAUAAAGUGAGCCUCGUGAGGCUUUUUGCAUGUACCUUAUGAAUAAGGACCGGCUAAUUCCGUGCCAGCAGCCGCGGUAAUACGGAAGGUCCGGGCGUUAUCCGGAUUUAUUGGGUUUAAAGGGAGCGUAGGCCGGAGAUUAAGCGUGUUGUGAAAUGUAGGCGCUCAACGUCUGCACUGCAGCGCGAACUGG
Molecule: ribosomal RNA, 285 nt
Filed under: uncultured Prevotella sp.
Lineage: Bacteria; Pseudomonadati; Bacteroidota; Bacteroidia; Bacteroidales; Prevotellaceae
Description: partial 16S ribosomal RNA
Rfam family: Bacterial small subunit ribosomal RNA
Source: RNAcentral